RNAcentral lists this ribosomal RNA (243 nucleotides) under uncultured Lactobacillus sp. Its description in RNAcentral is "partial 16S ribosomal RNA". It matches the Rfam family "Bacterial small subunit ribosomal RNA", at positions 118 to 354 of the family's 1533-position model. The record is from RNAcentral. Lineage: Bacteria; Bacillati; Bacillota; Bacilli; Lactobacillales; Lactobacillaceae.
UGGGUAACCUGCCCAAGAGAUCGGGAUAACACCUGGAAACAGAUGCUAAUACCGGAUAACAACAGAUGAUGCCUAUCAACUGUUUAAAAGAUGGUUCUACUAUCACUCUUGGAUGGACCUGCGGUGCAUUAGCUAGUUGGUAGGGUAACGGCCUACCAAGGCGAUGAUGCAUAGCCGAGUUGAGAGACUGAUCGGCCACAUUGGGACUGAGACACGGCCCAAACUCCUACGGAGGCAGCAGGG